GACGAACGCUGGCGGCGUGCUUAACACAUGCAAGUCGAACGGAAAGGCCCUGCUUUUGUGGGGUGCUCGAGUGGCGAACGGGUGCGUAACACGUGAGUAACCUGCCCUUGACUUUGGGAUAACUUCAGGAAACUGGGGCUAAUACCGGAUAGGAUCUCCUGCUGCAUGGUGGGGGUUGGAAAGUUUCGGCGGUUGGGGAUGGACUCGCGGCUUAUCAGCUUGUUGGUGGGGUAGUGGCUUACCAAGGCUUUGACGGGUAGCCGGCCUGAGAGGGUGACCGGCCACAUUGGGACUGAGAUACGGCCCAGACUCCUACGGGAGGCAGCAGUGGGGAAUAUUGCACAAUGGGCGGAAGCCUGAUGCAGCAACGCCGCGUGCGGGAUGACGGCCUGCGGGUUGUAAACCGCUUUCGCCUGUGACGAAGCGUGAGUGACGGUAAUGGGUAAAGAAGCACCGGCUAACUACGUG
RNAcentral lists this ribosomal RNA (468 nucleotides) under uncultured bacterium. RNAcentral describes it as "partial 16S ribosomal RNA". It matches the Rfam family "Bacterial small subunit ribosomal RNA", at positions 28 to 507 of the family's 1533-position model. The record is from RNAcentral.